Melanotaenia boesemani (Boeseman's rainbowfish) is the source of this 819-nucleotide long non-coding RNA. RefSeq lists it as uncharacterized. The record is from RefSeq and is a predicted model, not a curated record. Lineage: Eukaryota; Metazoa; Chordata; Actinopteri; Atheriniformes; Melanotaeniidae. The transcript is spliced from 3 exons.
GAUGGAGGUGUGUAGUGAUGGAGGUGUGUGGUGACAGACAGAGGUGUGUGGUGACGGAGGUUUGUGGUGAUGGAGGUGGGUGGUGAUGGAAGUGUGUGGUGACGGAGGUGUGUAGUGAUGGAGGUGUGUGGUGACGGACAUAGGUGUGUGGUGACGGAGGUGUGUGGUGAUGAAGUUGUGUGGUGAUGGAGGUGUGGGGUGACAGACAGAGGUGUGUGGUGACGGAGGUUUGUGGUGAUGGAGGUGUGUGGUGACAGAGGUGUUUGGUGACGGACAGAGGUGUGUGGUGACGGACAGAGGUGUGUGGUGAUGGAGGUGUGUAGUGAUGGAGGUCUGUAGUGAUGGAGGUGUGUAGUGAAGGAGGUGUGUGGUGACAGAGGUGUGUGGUGAUGGAGGUGUGUGGUGAUGGACAGAGGUGCGUCGUGACGGAGGUUUGUGGUGAUGGAGGUGUGUGGUGACAGACAGAGGUUUGUGGUGAUGGAGGUGUGUGGUGAAAGACAGAGGUGUGUAGUGAUGGAGGUGUGUAGUGAAGGAGGUGUGUGGUGACAGAGGUUUGUGGUGAUGGAGGUGUGUGGUGACGGAGGUGUGUGGUGAUGGAGGUGUGUGGUGAUGGAAGUGUGUGGUGACGGAAGUGUGUGGUGAUGGAGGUGUGUGGUGACGGACAGAGGUGUGUGGUGAUGGAGGUGUGUAGUGAUGGAGGUGUGUAGUGAAGGAGGUGUGUGGUGACAGAGGUUUGUGGUGAUGGAGGUGUGUGGUGACAGAGGUUUGUGGUGAUGGAGGUGUGUGGUGAUGGAGAUGUGUGGUGACGGACAGAGGUGU